GAUGAACGCUGGCGGCGUGCCUAAUACAUGCGAGUCGAGCGAACAGAUGAGGAGCUUGCUCCUCUGACGUUAGCGGCGGACGGGUGAGUAACACGUGGAUAACCUACCUAUAAGACUGGGAUAACUUCGGGAAACCGGAGCUAAUACCGGAUAAUAUAUUGAACCGCAUGGUUCAAUAGUGAAAGACGGUUUUGCUGUCACUUAUAGAUGGAUCCGCGCCGCAUUAGCUAGUUGGUAAGGUAACGGCUUACCAAGGCAACGAUGCGUAGCCGACCUGAGAGGGUGAUCGACCACACUGGAACUGAGACACGGUCCAGACUCCUACGGGAGGCAGCAGUAGGGAAUGUUCCGCAAUAGGCGAAAGCCUGACGGAGCAACGCCGCGUGAGUGAUGAAGGUCUUCGGAUCGUAAAACUCUGUUAUUAGGGAAGAACAAAUGUGUAAGUAACUAUGCACGUCUUGACGGUACCUAAUCAGAAAGCCACGGCUAACUACGUG
RNAcentral lists this ribosomal RNA (497 nucleotides) under uncultured bacterium. RNAcentral's name for it is "partial 16S ribosomal RNA". It matches the Rfam family "Bacterial small subunit ribosomal RNA", at positions 28 to 507 of the family's 1533-position model. The record is from RNAcentral.